UGCCCAAUGAGGAAUUAAAGACCUCUUGAUAGGAAGCGCCGUAUGACUCUUAUAACACCAGUUGUGCCCACAUAGUCCUUUCCUAUUUCUUUUCUCUUGAUGUUAUCCUCCUCAAAUCCUUUUAUAGGUUUGUGUUUUGAGGGUUCUCUAAAAGAAAGAUCUAUGGAGUUCAGAGGACUUGUGGUUCAGCUGUGUGUGUGUGUGAUUUUAAAUGGGUCACUGAGGGCU
This 228-nucleotide small nucleolar RNA is filed under the name Musa acuminata subsp. malaccensis (wild Malaysian banana). RNAcentral's name for it is "Small nucleolar RNA Z112". It matches the Rfam family "Small nucleolar RNA Z112". Rfam says of the family: Z112 is a member of the C/D class of snoRNA which contain the C (UGAUGA) and D (CUGA) box motifs. Most of the members of the box C/D family function in directing site-specific 2'-O-methylation of substrate RNAs. Lineage: Eukaryota; Viridiplantae; Streptophyta; Magnoliopsida; Zingiberales; Musaceae. The record is from Rfam by way of RNAcentral.